UAUGUACAUCGUACAAUACAUGUUAUAUUUCAAAGCUAAAUAAGCUUUGAAUUAAAUUGAAUAAAAAGCUAGAACUACAAACAAAGAUUUACAAUGAUUAAAAUUCACUCUUUAUCUAUCUAUAUAUUUAGCUUGAAAUCCACAAAAAAAUAUGAUAACAUCCGCAAACUUUCAUGAAAAGAAAAUGUUCGCAGAUAGAGCCAGAAAUAGGGUUUAUAAUGGAGAUGGGCGUGAAGCGCUCUGAAAGCAUAGUUUCUAAUAUGGUAUCUCCAAACUAAACGAGGAAUGACGAGCUGCGAACUCCCGAAGAGAGAAUACAGCUGAUUUCAAGAACCUCUCUAACUUAUAAACAUUUAAACCGUGAACUAUAGACUAUUCUCAAAACUAUACUCUCAUAUUUAGAUAUUUAUUCUUAUGAUAACUGCAAAUAUUUAUUACUAUAUAACUGCAUUUACCCAUAUAUUAAACCAAAUAUUGAGAAUGUUUUAUGUAUCGAACUCAAAGUUUUAUUCUUAAAUAGCAGUAAAAAGUCUAGCCAGCUUUUCUUUAUAAAAAGAAAUAACUUUAUAUUUACUUUCAGAAUUAGAAUGGGUUGAUUACCCCAUCUGGUUCUAUUGAAGUGUUGCCCAGGUUGCGUUUAAUCAAGAUAUCAACCCUGAGAGAAAUUAUCAUCGAGCAGUUCCGACUUGAUCCUACUCAGCAGGAAGCCAAUGCUUGGGGAACAAACCACCUCCUCCACGUUCCUCUCGUAAGGCUCAGCCUCAAGAUAUAUAUACCAGGAUUAAUCGUACCUCGUUGCUAUGCGCUAGCUACGCUACUACCUCUGCUUGGAUCACCCAUGGUCUGAUGCAGCUCCUUACGGGUCUCCUCUACGCCGUGUCAACCUACUCUUCUGAUGAUCCACGCGGAGAGUACCUACUCCUCCAGCCCGAGCAUCGUAAACCUGUAGUGCUCCACCUGGUUCAUGUUCACACCUUCACGACCUCCUCCUAGCAGCGGACCAUAAACUGUACCUCAUCUACCUCUCAUGUACCUCCCAGCCUCUACUGGAUAAGACUGAUCCUAGGCUCAACCUGUGGAUCAUUGAUAGUCUUGUUCCUGAUACUUACCUGACUGCAGAGCUAGCCAUCCUACCUCAUAAUCAACUCGCGAAGCAUAGAGAUCUACUACUGCUACAAACCCCUUGGCCAGUUCAACUUUUUCACGACUAGAGCUGUAUGAAUACACCUAUCCUGAAAUACAUGCUUGAAAAGACUGUCCGUGCAUUAAAGAGGUGCCCCAGGGUAUUUUGGAUGCUCGUCCAUUAUGUUUGUAUGCGUUCUACCUGCUCCACCUGGGAAGUGACAAGGAGUGACAAACCCAGUGCUCACAUAAACCUUGAA
Long non-coding RNA from Eurytemora carolleeae, 1382 nucleotides. RefSeq lists it as uncharacterized. Lineage: Eukaryota; Metazoa; Arthropoda; Copepoda; Calanoida; Temoridae. The transcript is spliced from 7 exons. The record is from RefSeq and is a predicted model, not a curated record.